Molecule: transfer-messenger RNA, 368 nt
Filed under: Mycobacteriaceae
Lineage: Bacteria; Bacillati; Actinomycetota; Actinomycetes; Mycobacteriales
Also listed under: 1 other name
Description: Rhodococcus sp012726205 Standard tmRNA
Rfam family: transfer-messenger RNA
About the family: Bacterial tmRNA, also known as 10Sa RNA or SsrA, is named for its dual tRNA and mRNA-like properties. Its role is to liberate the mRNA from a stalled ribosome.
Source: RNAcentral
GGGGCUGAACGGUUUCGACUGCGUACGUUGAGACAGGGGAAGCGUGUCGGUGCAGGCAAGAGACCACCGUAAGCGUCGCUGCAACCUAUAAGCGCCGAUUCCAAUCAGCGCGACUACGCACUCGCUGCCUAAGCGACUGCGUGUCUGUCAGCCCGGGUUCGCCCUCGACCCGGUCCCUGGCAUCAGCUAGAGGGCUUUACCGUCCGGCUCGGUCGCGGAGUCGUACGGGACAACUCACAGCGACUGGGACCGUCAUCUCGACUUGUUCGCGAGAUCGGGAGGUCCGAGUAGAGGCAUAGCGAACUGCACACGGAGAAGCCCUGGCAAGAUGCCGCAGGACCCGGGUUCAAUUCCCGGCAGCUCCACGG